GACGAACGCUGGCGGCGCGCCUAACACAUGCAAGUCGAACGAGCGAGAGAGAGCUUGCUUUCUCCAGCGAGUGGCGAACGGGUGAGUAACGCGUGAGGAACCUGCCUCAAAGAGGGGGACAACAGUUGGAAACGACUGCUAAUACCGCAUAAGCCCACGACCCGGCAUCGGGUAGAGGGAAAAGGAGCAAUCCGCUUUGAGAUGGCCUCGCGUCCGAUUAGCUAGUUGGUGAGGUAACGGCCCACCACGGCGACGAUCGGUAGCCGGACUGAGAGGUUGAACGGCCACAUUGGGACUGAGACACGGCCCAGACUCCUACGGGAGGCAGCAGUGGGGAAUAUUGCACAAUGGGGGAAACCCUGAUGCAGCGACGCCGCGUGGAGGAAGAAGGUCUUCGGAUUGUAAACUCCUGUUGUUGAGGAAGAUAAUGACGGUACUCAACAAGGAAGUGACGGCUAACUACGUG
RNAcentral lists this ribosomal RNA (466 nucleotides) under uncultured bacterium. Its description in RNAcentral is "partial 16S ribosomal RNA". It matches the Rfam family "Bacterial small subunit ribosomal RNA", at positions 28 to 507 of the family's 1533-position model. The record is from RNAcentral.